This 2811-nucleotide ribosomal RNA is filed under the name Bacteroides uniformis. Its description in RNAcentral is "23S ribosomal RNA". It matches the Rfam family "Bacterial large subunit ribosomal RNA". Lineage: Bacteria; Pseudomonadati; Bacteroidota; Bacteroidia; Bacteroidales; Bacteroidaceae. The record is from RNAcentral.
CAAAAAGUAAGUAAGGGCACAUGGCGGAUGCCUUGGCUCUCGGAGGCGAUGAAGGACGUGAUAAGCUGCGAUAAGCUGCGGGUAGGUGCAAAUGACCUUUGAUCCGCGGAUUUCCGAAUGGGACAACCCGGUACUUUGAAGAAGUAUCAUCCUGCAUUGCAGGAGGCUAACGCAGGGAACUGAAACAUCUUAGUACCUGCAGGAAAAGAAAAUAAACAAUGAUUCCCCCAGUAGUGGCGAGCGAACGGGGAAUAGCCCAAACCAUCCAUGUUACGGCAUGGGUGGGGUUGUAGGACCACGCCGUGGCAAGAAAGUUGGUGAGCAGAAUGUUCUGGAAAGUACAGCCAUAGAGCAUGAGAGCUGCGUAUGCGAAGCCAAGCGAAGCCUAGUGGUAUCCUGAGUAGCGCGGAGCACGAGGAAUUCUGCGUGAAUCUGCCGGGACCAUCCGGUAAGGCUAAAUACUCCCGAGAGACCGAUAGUGAACCAGUACUGUGAAGGAAAGGUGAAAAGCACUUCGAACAGAAGAGUGAAAUAGUUCCUGAAACCAUGUGCCUACAAGCGGUCGGAGCACCUUCUGGUGUGACGGCGUGCCUUUUGCAUAAUGAACCUACGAGUUACUUUUUCCGGCGAGGUUAAGGAUUUCAGAUCUGCAGCCGAAGCGAAAGCGAGUCUGAACAGGGCGUAUAGUCGGAAGGAGUAGACGCGAAACCAAGUGAUCUACCCUUGGGCAGGUUGAAGGAUGGGUAACACCAUCUGGAGGACCGAACCAAUAAGCGUUGAAAAGCUUCUGGAUGACCUGAGGGUGGGGGUGAAAGGCUAAUCAAACUUGGAGAUAGCUCGUACUCCCCGAAAUGCAUUUAGGUGCAGCCUUGACUUAUACUGGCAUGAGGUAGAGCGACUGAUAAGAUGCGAGGGCUUCACCGCCUAUCAAGUCUUGACAAACUCCGAAUGCGUGUCAGUUCUAUGUCAGGAGUGAGGGCAUGGGUGCUAAGGUCCAUGUCCUAAAGGAGAACAAUCCGGACCAACAGCUAAGGUCCCGAAAUGAAUACUAAGUUGAACUAACGAAGUCAGAUUGCUAAGACAGCUAGGAUGUUGGCUUGGAAGCAGCCAUUCAUUUAAAGAGUGCGUAACAGCUCACUAGUCGAGGAGUUUGGCGUGGAUAAUAAUCGGGCAUAAGUAUUCUACCGAAGCUUUGGGAUGAGAAAUCAUCGGUAGGGGAGCAUUCCACUCGGCGUCGAAGGUGAGGCGCGAGCUUUGCUGGAGCGUGUGGAAAAGCAAAUGUAGGUAUAAGUAACGAUAAAGGGGGUGGGAAACCCCCUCGCCGAAAGACUAAGGUUUCCUGAUCAACGCUAAUCGGAUCAGGGUAAGUCGGGUCCUAAGGCUCAGCCGAACGGCGAGGCCGAUGGCAGAACCGGUUAAUAUUCCGGUACUACCUGUGGGAGUGACGUGGAGACGGAGUCGUGACAGCGCCGCGGACUGACGGAAUAGUCCGUUGAAGGGUGUAGAUGCUGAUUGUUCCAGGCAAAUCCGGAGCAAGAGUCGAACCUGAUAGUAUGGAGCGUUCUUAGAACAAUCCAAUAGUGCGUGUAAUCAUACUUCCAAGAAAAUCCGCUAAACUUAAUCCUGCAGGUACCCGUACCGCAAACGGACACACGUAGUCGGGUUGAAUAUACUAAGGCGCUUGAGUGAUUCACGGUUAAGGAACUAGGCAAACUGACCCUGUAACUUCGGGAUAAAGGGUCCUCGCUUAACGGCGAGGCGCAGAGAAUAGGUCCAGGCAACUGUUUAACAAAAACACAGGGCUGUGCAAAAUUGAAAGAUGAAGUAUACAGCCUGACACCUGCCCGGUGCUGGAAGGUUAAGAGGAGAUGUCAUCGCAAGAGAAGCAUUGAAUUGAAGCCCCAGUAAACGGCGGCCGUAACUAUAACGGUCCUAAGGUAGCGAAAUUCCUUGUCGGGUAAGUUCCGACCUGCACGAAUGGUGUAAUGAUCUGGACGCUGUCUCAACCGUGAGCUCAGUGAAAUUGUAGUAUCGGUGAAGAUGCCGAUUACCCGCGAUGGGACGAAAAGACCCCGUGAACCUUUACUAUAGCUUAACAUUGAAUUUGGGUAAUUGAUGUGUAGGAUAGGCCGGAGGCUUCGAAGCNUGCGGGGACACUGUUUGGUGGGUAGUUUGACUGGGGUGGUCGCCUCCAAAAGUGUAACGGAGGCUUCUAAAGGUGCCCUCACGACGAUUGGUAACCGUCGGCAGAGUGUAAUGGCAUAAGGGCGCUUGACUGGGAGACUUACAAGUCGAUCAGGUAGGAAACUAGAGCAUAGUGAUCCGGUGUUUCUGUAUGGAAAGGACAUCGCUCAAAGGAUAAAAGGUACUCCGGGGAUAACAGGCUGAUCCCUCCCAAGAGCUCAUAUCGACGGAGGGGUUUGGCACCUCGAUGUCGGCUCGUCACAUCCUGGGGCUGGAGAAGGUCCCAAGGGUUGGGCUGUUCGCCCAUUAAAGUGGCACGCGAGCUGGGUUCAGAACGUCGUGAGACAGUUCGGUCUCUAUCUAUCGUGGGCGCAUGAAAUUUGCGUGGCUCUGACACUAGUACGAGAGGACCGUGUUGGACUGACCUCUGGUUUACCGGUUGUGCCGCCAGGUGCAUUGCCGGGUAUCUAAGUCGGGAUUGGAUAAGUGCUGAAAGCAUCUAAGUACGAAGCCAGCCACAAGAUUAGAUUUCUCAGGGUCGUUGUAGACUACGACGUUGAUAGGAUGCAGGUGUACAGGCAGCGAUGUCAUAGCCGAGCAUUACUAAUUGCCCGUCCACUUUUUGCC